Molecule: ribosomal RNA, 284 nt
Filed under: uncultured diatom
Lineage: Eukaryota; Bacillariophyta
Description: partial 18S ribosomal RNA
Rfam family: Eukaryotic small subunit ribosomal RNA
Source: RNAcentral
CGUAUAUUAAAGUUGUUGCAGUUAAAAAGCUCGUAGUUGGAUUUGUGGAUGGUCUUGAGGUCCACGUUUUGCGUUGGUACUAUUGAGAUUGUCCAUCCUUGGGUGGAAUCUGUGUGGCAUUAGGUUGUCGUGCAGGGGAUGCCCAUCGUUUACUGUGAAAAAAUUAGAGUGUUCAAAGCAGGCUUAUGCCGCUGAAUAUAUUAGCAUGGAAUAAUGAGAUAGGACUUGGGUGCUAUUUUGUUGGUUUGCGCACCUUGGUAAUGAUUAAUAGGGACAGUUGGGGG